GAAGGCCUGGACAAGGGAUGAGCUGUCUCCUUUAUGUAGUUUGAAUUUAACUUUUGAGUGAAAAGGCUCAAAUUAUUUAGUGGGACGAUAAGACCCUAUAAAACUUUAUAUAAGUUUAAUUUGGCUUACAAUUUGAGUGAAAAGUAGCUUUAUUAGGCUUAUAUUUCGUUGGGGAGAUGCAGAUAUAAUGUGAAACUGUCUAUUUAAUUUAAUAAUUAUAAUUAGUGUGUGAUCCUUCUUUGUGGAUUAAAAGCAUAAGUUACUUUAGGGAUAACAGCGUGUUUUUCUUUGAGAGUUCUUAUCGACAAGAGUAGUUGCGACCCUCGAUGUCGAAUUAAAAUUUCAGUUAGGUGUAGCCGCCUAGCUGGUAGGUCUGUUCGACCUUUAAAAUUUUACAUGAUUUGAGUCCAAUCCGGUGUGAGCCAGGUUGGUUUCUAUCUAA
RNAcentral lists this ribosomal RNA (442 nucleotides) under Macrobrachium superbum. RNAcentral describes it as "partial 16S ribosomal RNA". It matches the Rfam family "Bacterial large subunit ribosomal RNA", at positions 1994 to 2645 of the family's 2925-position model. The record is from RNAcentral. Lineage: Eukaryota; Metazoa; Arthropoda; Malacostraca; Decapoda; Palaemonidae.